AAAGGAAUACAAAGACUAUUGGAUUUCAUCAUGCCAGGUCUUCUGAAAAGUAGUGAAAGAGAACCAUUUGAAGUUCAUGUUUAUGGACACAGAAUAAUGAAAUAUUUUACAGACAACAAUAAGAACAUCAUAUCUUUUGCCGAGUUUUGCGAAGGAAAAGAGCAUUGGGAAGUCUGUCGAUACUUUUUUGCCUGUUUGCAUCUGGCUACAAGUGAUAAAGUUGGAAUAUCAACUAUAAAGAAACCUGAUGGAACUGAUGUUCUGUUGCUGACAUUGCUCUCAAAAGAUUAAAUUAAUUUAUUAUAUAUGGACUUCUUUAAUUUACAAACAAUUUGUUUGUACAUAUUGGCAUUUCAUUUUUGGUGUAAAUUUUUCAAUGGUAAGAAUGUGUUGAAUUUUUUAACAGUGAAAUAUAUAUUGAAAUGCCCUUUCUUUUAUACCUUUUACAUCUUACAGUUACUCACUAUUAUGUAUUCAGCAAACUGAAACAGUUGUGCAAUUAUAUGUGUAGUUUGAUAUAUCUAUGCAAUAACGAACUGUAAACGUAUGGGAAAUCAUUUCAUAUUGCUAGUGAUUGUAUCCUACUGGAGUUUGAACUUUUAAUUUUAAAUUUUGAAAUUUGAGUAUAUAUAAGUAUUAAAAACAAAACUUUAAAUGUUUAUUGUUUUUAUUGUUUUUUUUUUUUUUUUAAUGUUUCUUACAAAAAGUAUAGAAUUCUAACACUGAAGUAAAUUGUUUUAAAAUCUGUCCGAUCCUAUUGAAAACUUGAAAAUGUUCAAAAAUUGUACGUACUUUAGAAUUGAUAACUUUAGUAUCAUGCAGUUUUAUGAAUCAUUAAGCAUAUACUAUUUGAAAAUAAUGUAUAUUUUAUGUCUGGAAUUUAAUAUAGGUAAUUAAAUAUGUAUUGAUACUGUAAUUUGCUAUGUAUAAUUUUAAUGAUAAAAUUUGUUGAAAUUUUUAUCUAAAUUUAUAAAAGAUGUCUUGCACAAGUAGUAGUUAUGUUGCUUUACAUCAACUAUGUUUUAGCCAAUUUUUAAAACUGCUACUGAUAUUUUUGUUGGGUUGAACUCAGGAAUAUAUAUUAAUCUUAAUGUAGUUAAUGUUUUUAACAAAUUUCUUUAAUGCUUUGUAGUUUUAAAAGGAAUAAUACACUUUUGAUGUAUUUCAUGCUAUGUUAUAUUUGGUGCUAUCAAUAUUUGUAUGUAAGGGUGAAAUUUUAUCGCCUUUUUAGGUAAUGCAAUAUUUUCCAUUGUUUUAUAUUGAAGUAGCUCAUUUUCAUACUUUAAAUGAGCUUUUGAUAAUAGAAAUGUUAUGCCAUGUUUGUUGAAUUCAUGUCCUAGUAUUCUGCACUGCCACUUCAACAGUCAUGUUACAUUUUUGUAGUUAACGGUGAAUGGUAAAAAUUGUUUUGGUUUUGCUCAUUUCAUUAAUAUAUGUUGAAAUUAUGUUUUGGGGUUAUGGAACUAACCAUACAUAUUGAACUAACUAUGUGAAACAUUCUGGAAAUUGAAGUUGUGCAAUUUUUACAGUGAAACCUGAAUAAACCAAAAUGCCAUGGGACAGAUGAAAUUCACAUAUUAGACAGUUUUCCACCAAACAGAGUUAUUUACUCUUUCAAAAAAAGUGGAAGAAAAGGGAAUUGUUCUUACCUUUUGAAAGUAUGGAUAAUUCUCGGUAUUAAAAUAAAACUUGUAUUUAAAAAAUUCAAAAAAAAAAAAAAAAAAAAAAAAAUUGUAAAACAUAUUUUUUUUAAAAAUAAUCAAAUGUACUCUUUGUAGUACAUGUAGUAAUGCAAUUUUAUAGUUCUUCAAGCUUCCAUUACAGAACCUACAAGUUCUGGGGGGUACAUUUACUAUAUGAAAACUCAUGCAUGUGUCUUAUGCAUUGCUCCAGACAAUUGAUCUUUAGUCUUCAUCACUACUGUUAUUACCAGUAACUUCGUGACUUGAAAUGUGUUUUUCAACCUUACCAAUUGAUGUUGGUGGUUAAUUUGUAUAAUGUCAUGAAAUCUUGAUUUUCAACUAACAUGUAAAGCAAUAAAUUUCAGAAUCACAUGAAUUUUCAUUGAUAUUUUUCCAUUGAAGAUUUACUUUCAGAAAACAAGUGGGAGAUUCACUAGUGGUAGAUUUAAGCUGCUCUAUUUCAUGCCAGGUAUCAUACGCUGAAAAAUAUUAAUGGGCUGACAGGAUAUUAAUCAUAGGAGCCAUUCUUUCCAGUGAAGGCAGAUUUCCAUUUAUAGCAAGUCUGUCUUGGGCAGGUUUCACUGUACUCUGAUUUUAAACAUGAAUAUUUUGCACUGCAUACUACUUUUGGACUUUUGAAAAGAUAAUUUUGUUUUCAAAAUAUGGACCCAAGUGUUACAAGUUGAAUUUUUUAUUAACUUUGUUCAUUGGCACAUAAAAUAUAUUCAUCAUCCCUCUUAAUGAAAAAACUAUACCUGCCAAUCUACUGUUGUUGGCCAUACAGGUAUAGGUUUCAGAUGAGUUGAACAAUUCUAAAAUUUUUAAAAAAUACGGAACUUUGAUUCUGUAAAUCAACUCCAAUCAUUAUUGGAUUUUUAAACCAACAUUUUACAUGAAAAGAAGCUUUACAAAUGUGAAAUUUAGGCGUAAUACACUACUUAUGGGAAGUUUUGUAAAAUUUGCUAAUGAAAAACGUUCAGAAAAUAGUUAAAAAAUUCUGAGAUAGUUAUCUAUCAGGGACUACUGAGUACAUGUUUUAAAGUAAAAUUUUUAUUUCACAGUUCAAAUUUUACAAUCUAGAAAUUUAAAUUUUCCUAUCAAUCCAGGAUUUGCAGAUUUUAUUUCAAAGUGCUUAAUUUUAGAGAUUACUUUAUUUUAGAAUUUUGAAUUAAAAUUCUUAAUUGUUUUUACAUGCUUAUUUUUUUACAUGCUGAAAGUCUUUUUUUUAAUCAUUUUUCACUCUUUCUCUUUUCCCAGCUCAAAAAUGACUUAUUGUUUCUAAUGUUGAAAUUUGAAAGUUCGUUAAAUUUCUAAAGAUAACUGCCUUGCAUUGUUAAUGUUUAGAAUUGAUUUAAGUCACCUCAAAAUUUAUAUUCAUUAAACAUUUAUGAAGUGUAUUUCUCUUCUGCCUCUUUUCUCACAUCAUUCCUUUUGUUUUCUUUCAAAACUGGCAGUAAAUUUUUAAUUUUUUAGGGAAACUACUGAACUUUGUUAAUGUUUUAAUUUGAUUGAGCAGUUAUUUUGUAAAUGGUUAUUUUAUUUAAUAACCAUUUACAAAAUAAUUAAACUGAAGUAAAAUUAUGUUAUUUUUAUAAACUUUGCUAUUAAAAAUUAGCUACCUGAGUCGAAGACAGUUUAUUUUGAAACAUUUUAAGGCAUUGUUUUUGAUUUAAAACUUGCUCUUUAUAUUCAUUGGCACAUCUCACAUUGUUUAGUACAAAAUUGCUUUGAAAAUUGCAUACAAACAUACUUAGUAUGGAGAAUGAGUUGUCUUUUUUUUCGUGCAAGUCUCAUACAGCUUUUUUUCCCCCUUGCAUUGAAAAAGAGGAUUGGUGCCACAACACCUGAUGAAUACAAUUUUCAUUGGAAUUUGUAUCAAAUAAUGUUGGAUUUGAGUAUGUUUACACUAGUUGCAAUUGAUUUGUUGUUUGAAUGUUAUACCAAUUUGACGCUUCUUUGCAAAUUACUUUGUAAGGAUAGACCAAAUAAUUUGUAAACAAGCAUCAUACAUAAGUGUUACUGGGAUAAGAUCCCAGUAAUUUGAUGAUGUAUUGAGUUUUGGCAAGGCUAUAUAUGGCUUGAAUGAGCUGUUUAUUAAAAAAUACAUUCCUUCAAUGUUCAUUUUAAGUAAUUGUGAAACUACACAACUGUAGAUUCUAACAAGAAAUUUUUUCGUGUCUGUACAAAGAAAAACCUAAAUCAAUUCUACUGGAAUUGAUGCUGCAUUUUCAUCCAAUAAACAUUUGACUUCAAGAGGUUCUGUGUAAUUAUUUCCAUCUGUUAAAAACUCGGUUGCCAUUGGUGUUUGUAGUUCACAAUAUACAGAUGUUUGUUUCAAGUUGGUAGUUGUUUCUGCUAUGUCUGAUCCUGUAAAGAAUAAAAUUUGGUAAUAAAUUUUUUGAGCCAAA
Long non-coding RNA from Uloborus diversus, 4090 nucleotides. RefSeq lists it as uncharacterized. NCBI's taxonomy places the organism in Eukaryota, Metazoa, Arthropoda, Arachnida, Araneae, Uloboridae. The transcript has 3 exons. The record is from RefSeq and is a predicted model, not a curated record.